UCUUUUCUUUUUUUUCUCCUCUCCUUCUCUUCCAUCUCUCCUUCUCUUCCUUUGCUUCCCUCUGCUUCCCCCUUGGUUCCGCCAACGAUGAUGGCGGCAGCGGCGUCGCACCGCUCCUCUCCGUUUCCUCUCUUUCUUUUUUCAUUCUUCUUGCCCCUCUCAUUCUAUUCCUCCUCCGCUUAGCUCUCGUCACUCAAAGCGACAACGGCAGCGGCGUCCCCGCCGCCUCUCUCUCGACGGCCAAGAAGAAAAAACAAAGUCAAACUCAAAUCUGCCUCCCUCUCCUUUUAUUUAUUCGAUUCCGAAUGGAUCGGGGCUGGCAUGCAUCGGAGGAUGCCUCCGGCGAGUCCUCCGGUGACAGACAAGCCCCAAUCUACAGAUCUAGGGUUCUAAUAUUUCAUUUAAACAGCUUUUCUGACGUUGUUAUUUUGUUUUAUUUUUUAUUUUUAAUUUAGGGAUGGAAAUCGACGGAGAGGAAGACGAGGACCUCGCCGCCGCCGACGCGGCCGACGACUGCAGCAAAGAGACUGACAGAGAAAAGGGGAGUCAGGUAAAAAACUCUGUUUUAUUUUCUUUAACUAAUCCCUGUUUUAGCGAAUAAGGAACUAACCCUUCUUUGUAAUAUCAGACGAGAAAAUAAAAGAAAAGCAUACCUUAAUCGCUGAAGAGAAACGAAACAAAAAGAGAAGGGAAAACGGCUACCGUAAAGUAGAGCGUUAAUUUCUAACUAUUCUAGUUUGUCUUGGUAAAUGGUAGUAGUGGUUUUGUUAUUGACUAGGUUGCUUAUUAUCUGAAAAAUUUGAUUGUUUUGUUAUUGAAGCUGGACUGGUAAUCUAAACUUUUGUGAAAACGAUUUUCUGAUUACAAAAUUUUGUCAUUUUACUACUUUUAAUAAAGUUCCAGCAAUAAUACUUGACAGAAAAUCCAUAUUUUAGCUCGAUUUUGGCGUCAUAUUAUGAGUAGUAUUGUAGCUCUUAAGUUCUUGGUGUAAGUUGCGUGAAAAUGGUAAUUGGAGAUUGCUUAAUCCAUUGUUAAUCUGUUUUCCAGCGGCCUUUCUUGAACAAAAAUUCUUCAUUUUACCCUUGAAUUCAUUGUUUGCUUAAGUUGGCUGUUUCACGAUUUAGUAGUUGUGAAUAUCAAGUUAGGAGCAGCAAAACAGACAAUAUACAAACAAACCUAGGAAGCAUAUUGAGAAGUGUUAAAACAGAAUAUGAAUGAUAUGUGAAUGAUUGUGAAUCGGAAAGGGGUUCGUUUGGGAGCACCGAUCUUUUAACGUUAGCUUUUGUUUAUUAAAGUUUCGGUAGUGUGAACUAAACUUCUGUCUCUUAUUCUAUGAAUUUUGGGGAUUCAGUGGGUCUCGGGAGCUUGACGGAAGCACCUCAUCUAGUGGAUUCAACGCUUUCCAAUCUUUGUAUCUUUUCUUCGUUCAGUUUUAUUUGUUUCUUUAUGUGAUUGUACUAUGUUGUUGUUUUGUAAUAGGUUUGGUUAGAUUGGACGUGUUGUAAAUAAUAUUUGGGAUUUUGUGGUUUUUGAGAUUUAGUGGGCUAAAAGUACAUGUAAAAAAAACUCCUCCUUGUGGUCUUUAGUUAGGUCCUUUUAUAGAAUAAAAAAGGUUGCUGCCUCUUCAAUUCUCCAA
RNAcentral lists this long non-coding RNA (1636 nucleotides) under Linum usitatissimum (flax). RNAcentral describes it as "long non-coding RNA (LUSI_LNC006218)". The record is from RNAcentral. Lineage: Eukaryota; Viridiplantae; Streptophyta; Magnoliopsida; Malpighiales; Linaceae.